Molecule: ribosomal RNA, 404 nt
Filed under: uncultured bacterium
Lineage: Bacteria
Description: bacterial SSU rRNA
Rfam family: Bacterial small subunit ribosomal RNA
Source: RNAcentral
GACGAACGCUUGCGGCAGGCUUAACACAUGCAAGUCGAGCGGGCGUAGCAAUACGUCAGCGGCAGACGGGUGAGUAACGCGUGGGAACGUACCUUUUGGUUCGGAACAACACAGGGAAACUUGUGCUAAUACCGGAUAAGCCCUUACGGGGAAAGAUUUAUCGCCGAAAGAUCGGCCCGCGUCUGAUUAGCUAGUUGGUGAGGUAACGGCUCACCAAGGCGACGAUCAGUAGCUGGUCGAGAGGAUGAUCAGCCACAUUGGGACUGAGACACGGCCCAAACUCCUACGGGAGGCAGCAGUGGGGAAUAUUGGACAAUGGGCGCAAGCCUGAUCCAGCCAUGCCGCGUGAGUGAUGAAGGCCCUAGGGUUGUAAAGCUCUUUUGUGCGGGAAGAUAAUGACGGUA